RNAcentral lists this ribosomal RNA (469 nucleotides) under uncultured bacterium. RNAcentral describes it as "partial 16S ribosomal RNA". It matches the Rfam family "Bacterial small subunit ribosomal RNA", at positions 28 to 508 of the family's 1533-position model. The record is from RNAcentral.
GAUGAACGCUGGCGGCGUGCUUAACACUUGCCAGUCGAACGGAAAGGCCAGUGCUUGCACUGGUACUCGAGUGGCGAACGGGUGAGUAACACGUGGGUGAUCUGCCCUGCACUUCGGGAUAAGCCUGGGAAACUGGGUCUAAUACCGGAUAGGACAAUGGUUUGGAUGCCGUUGUGGAAAGUUUUUUCGGUGUGGGAUGAGCUCGCGGCCUAUCAGCUUGUUGGUGGGGUAAUGGCCUACCAAGGCGUCGACGGGUAGCCGGCCUGAGAGGGUGUACGGCCACAUUGGGACUGAGAUACGGCCCAGACUCCUACGGGAGGCAGCAGUGGGGAAUAUUGCACAAUGGGCGCAAGCCUGAUGCAGCGACGCCGCGUGGGGGAUGACGGCCUUCGGGUUGUAAACUCCUUUCGCUAGGGACGAAGCGUAUUUGUGACGGUACCUGGAGAAGAAGCACCGGCUAACUACGUGC